This is a long non-coding RNA of Ctenopharyngodon idella (grass carp), 643 nucleotides long. RefSeq lists it as uncharacterized. The transcript is spliced from 4 exons. Lineage: Eukaryota; Metazoa; Chordata; Actinopteri; Cypriniformes; Xenocyprididae. The record is from RefSeq and is a predicted model, not a curated record.
AUUUCCUGCCGCUUUUAAACCCCGGUAGCGUGAGUUUUCACCCCCUUUUCGAAGAAAUGCCAGAAGACGCAGAGGCGGUUGAAGCAGUGGAGUCUCAAGUCUUAUAAUAUCAGUGACCGAAAUUACAGUCCGCUACAAUGACUCAACAAGACGUCAAACCAGAUGGGCUGCAGGAUACGGGAUAUGGGCUGCUCUCUCAUUCCGGAGUCCGAACACCAGUUGAGAGAAGAGGGAAGGUGCCCAUUAAAUGAAAAUGCAUUUAAUGUGCAGGAGGCUGUCAGGUUUGCAGCAUUAAAGCCAAGAUGAAAUCAAACUAUGAAUGGCACACAAAGGAAAUAUUAAAUGCAAAGGAUUGUAAGUUUUUCCACAGGCAAAACUAUAUAAAUCCAGAUGGCACAGUGGAUCAGCCCAAGCCGAAGAAAAAUAACAGUGGAGGGCUGAAAAAAAUGUAUGAAGGUGGUGAUAGAAUAAGAAUUUCACACCUCCAGUAUACCACACUUGGCUUUAGCACAUCAGAAAGGGCUUGGAGAGAAAGCACAGAUGAACACAAAUGUAAAUGUAGUAUACAAGACAUUAGGUAAUGUUAUUGUCUAAUGCUUUCCACUAUAUUUCUUCCUGUUUCAUAAUAAACAUUCAAACAAAG